AUUGAACGCUGGCGGCAUGCUUUACACAUGCAAGUCGAACGGUAACAGGUUAAGCUGACGAGUGGCGAACGGGUGAGUAAUGCAUCGGAACGUGCCCGAUCGUGGGGGAUAACGCAGCGAAAGCUGCGCUAAUACCGCAUACGAUCUGAGGAUGAAAGCGGGGGACCGUAAGGCCUCGCGCGAUCGGAGCGGCCGAUGGCAGAUUAGGUAGUUGGUGGGGUAAAGGCUCACCAAGCCAACGAUCUGUAGCUGGUCUGAGAGGACGACCAGCCACACUUGGCCUGAGACACGGCCCAGACUGCUACGGGAGGCAGCAGUGGGGAAUUUUGGACCAUGGGCGAAAGCCUGAUCCAGCCAUGCCGCGUGCAGGAUGAAGGCCUUCGGGUUGUAAACUGCUUUUGUACGGAACGAAAAGGUUUGGGCUAAUAAGCUGAGCUCAUGACGGUACCGUAAGAAUAAGCACCGGCUAACUACGUGCCAGCAGCCGCCGCAG
RNAcentral lists this ribosomal RNA (493 nucleotides) under uncultured bacterium. Its description in RNAcentral is "partial 16S ribosomal RNA". It matches the Rfam family "Bacterial small subunit ribosomal RNA", at positions 30 to 523 of the family's 1533-position model. The record is from RNAcentral.